RNAcentral lists this ribosomal RNA (409 nucleotides) under uncultured bacterium. RNAcentral describes it as "bacterial SSU rRNA". It matches the Rfam family "Bacterial small subunit ribosomal RNA", at positions 356 to 773 of the family's 1533-position model. The record is from RNAcentral.
GGGGAAUAUUGCGCAAUGGGCGGAAGCCUGACGCAGCGACGCCGCGUGGGGGAUGACGGCCUUCGGGUUGUAAACCUCUUUCAGCGGGGACGAAGCCCUUUGGGGUGACGGUACCUGCAGAAGAAGCGCCGGCUAACUACGUGCCAGCAGCCGCGGUAAUACGUAGGGCGCGAGCGUUGUCCGGAAUUAUUGGGCGUAAAGAGCUCGUAGGCGGUUUGUCGCGUCGGAUGUGAAAGCCCAUGGCUUAACUGUGGGUCUGCAUUCGAUACGGGCAGACUAGAGGUAGGUAGGGGAGCAUGGAAUUCCCGGUGUAGCGGUGAAAUGCGCAGAUAUCGGGAGGAACACCGGUGGCGAAGGCGGUGCUCUGGGCCUUACCUGACGCUGAGGAGCGAAAGCGUGGGGAGCGAAC